Molecule: ribosomal RNA, 956 nt
Filed under: uncultured organism
Description: bacterial SSU rRNA
Rfam family: Bacterial small subunit ribosomal RNA
Source: RNAcentral
AGCGUUAUCCGGUUACUGGGCGUAAAGAGCGUUGAGGCGGUUCCGUAACUUGGCCUGAAGCCCCGGGCUUAACCCGGGGAGCUCGUUCAAUACUGCGGGACUUGAGGGCAGCAGAGGGAGGCGGAAUUCCCGGUGUACCGGUGAAAUGCGUAGAUAUCGGGAGGAACACCAGUGGCGAAGGCGGCCUCCUGGGCUGUUUCUGACGCUGAAGGCGAAAGCUAGGGGAGCGAACGGGAUUAGAAACCCCGGUAGUCCUAGCCGUAAACGAUGGUUGCUGGGUCUGGGGGGUAUAGAUCCCCUCCGUGCCGAAGCUAACGCGUUAAGCAUCCCGCCUGGGGAUUACGGCCGCAAGGCUUAAACUCAAACGAAUUGACGGGGGCCCGCACAAGCAGCGGAGCGUGUGGUUUAAUUCGAUGCUACACGAAGAACCUUACCUGGGCUUGACAUGUAGGUAGUAGUGAAGCGAAAGCGGAACGACCCUUCGGGGAGCCUACACAGGUGCUGCAUGGCUGUCGUCAGUUCGUGCCGUGAGGUGUCGGGUUAAGUCCCGUAACGAACGCAACCCUUGCCCUUAGUUACAUGUGUCUAAGGGGACUGCCCGGGACAACUGGGAGGAAGGUGGGGAUGACGUCAAGUCAGCAUGGCCUUUAUGUCCAGGGCUACACACACGCUACAAUGGCCGGUACAAUGGGUCGCCAAGCCGUGAGGCGGAGCCAAUCCCCCAAAGCCGGUCUAAGUUCGGAUUGUGGGCUGCAACUCGCCCAUAUGAAGCUGGAGUUGCUAGUAACCGCGCGUCAGCAAUAGUGCGGUGAAUACGUUCCCGGGCCUUGUACACACCGCCCGUCACGUCAUGGAAGCUGGCAACACCUGAGCCAGUGAGCUAACCCGCAAGGGGGCAGCUGUCGAAGGUGGGGCUGGUGACUGGGACGAAGUCGUNGGAAGGUAGCGCAAGGCGA